This is a non-coding RNA of Pseudocercospora fijiensis CIRAD86, 90 nucleotides long. The record is from the annotation of a RefSeq genome assembly. Lineage: Eukaryota; Fungi; Ascomycota; Dothideomycetes; Mycosphaerellales; Mycosphaerellaceae.
CCGCGUGGCACAAUUGGCUAGCGCGUGAGACUUUUAGAGCCUGGUUUCCAAAAACAUCUCAAGGUUGAGAGUUCGAGCCUCGUAAGUUGA